Molecule: ribosomal RNA, 700 nt
Filed under: uncultured Vagococcus sp.
Lineage: Bacteria; Bacillati; Bacillota; Bacilli; Lactobacillales; Enterococcaceae
Description: bacterial SSU rRNA
Rfam family: Bacterial small subunit ribosomal RNA
Source: RNAcentral
CCGUAAACGAUGAGUGCUAAGUGUUGGAGGGUUUCCCCCUUCAGUGCUGCAGUUAACGCAUUAAGCACUCCGCUGGGGAGUACGGCCGCAAGGCUGAAACUCAAAGGAAUUGACGGGGGCCCGCACAAGCGGUGGAGCAUGUGGUUUAAUUCGAAGCAACGCGAAGAACCUUACCAGGUCUUGACAUCCUUUGACCACUCUAGAGAUAGAGCUUUCCCUUCGGGGACAAAGUGACAGGUGGUGCAUGGUUGUCGUCAGCUCGUGUCGUGAGAUGUUGGGUUAAGUCCCGCAACGAGCGCAACCCUUAUUGUUAGUUGCCAUCAUUCAGUUGGGCACUCUAGCGAGACUGCCGGUGACAAACCGGAGGAAGGUGGGGAUGACGUCAAAUCAUCAUGCCCCUUAUGACCUGGGCUACACACGUGCUACAAUGGACGGUACAAUGAGUCGCGAGACCGCGAGGUUUAGCUAAUCUCUUAAAGCCGUUCUCAGUUCGGAUUGUAGGCUGCAACUCGCCUACAUGAAGCCGGAAUCGCUAGUAAUCGUGGAUCAGCACGCCACGGUGAAUACGUUCCCGGGCCUUGUACACACCGCCCGUCACACCAUGAGAGUUUGUAACACCCAAAGUCGGUGAGGUAACCUUUUGGAGCCAGCCGCCUAAGGUGGGAUAGAUGAUUGGGGUGAAGUCGUAACAAGGUAACCA